UACGUAGGGGGCAAGCGUUGUCCGGAAUUAUUGGGCGUAAAGAGCUCGUAGGCGGUGUGUCGCGUCGGCCGUGAAAACCUGGGGCUUAACUCUGGGCUUGCGGUCGAUACGGGCAUCACUGGAGUUCGGCAGGGGAGACUGGAAUUCCUGGUGUAGCGGUGAAAUGCGCAGAUAUCAGGAGGAACACCGGUGGCGAAGGCGGGUCUCUGGGCCGAUACUGACGCUGAGGAGCGAAAGCGUGGGGAGCGAACAGG
Molecule: ribosomal RNA, 254 nt
Filed under: uncultured bacterium
Lineage: Bacteria
Description: partial 16S ribosomal RNA
Rfam family: Bacterial small subunit ribosomal RNA
Source: RNAcentral